Molecule: ribosomal RNA, 253 nt
Filed under: uncultured bacterium
Lineage: Bacteria
Description: partial 16S ribosomal RNA
Rfam family: Bacterial small subunit ribosomal RNA
Source: RNAcentral
GACGAACCGUGCGAACGUUAUUCGGAAUCACUGGGCUUAAAGGGCGCGUAGGCGGUUCCCCAAGUCCGGGGUGAAAUCCCACGGCCCAACCGUGGAAGUGCCUUGGAUACUGGAGACCUCGAGGGGGAUAGGGGCGUGCGGAACUCAGGGUGGAGCGGUGAAAUGCGUAGAUAUCCUGAGGAACACCGGUGGCGAAAGCGGCGCGCUGGAUCCCUUCUGACGCUGAGGCGCGAAAGCCAGGGGAGCAAACGGG